UAAUUGUUUUUACUCCUCUGGGCACUGAGAUGUAGGUUGUUUCUUCUUCUUCUUCUUCUUCUUCUUCCUUCUUUCUUCUUCUUCUUCUUCCUUCUUCCUUCUUCUUCUUCUUCCUUCUUCUUCUUCCUUCUUCUUCUUCUUCUUCCUUCUUCUUCUUCUUCUUCCUUCUUCUUCUUCUUCCUUCUUCUUCUUCUUCUUCUUCUUCCUUCUUCUUCUUCUUCUUCCUUCUUCUUCUUCUUCUUCCUUCUUCCUCUUCUUCUUCUUCUUCUUCUUCUUCUUCUCUCUCUCUCUCUCUCUCUCUCUCUCUCUCUCUCUCUCUCUCUCUCUCUCUCUCUCUCUCUCUCUCUCUCUCUCUCUUUACCUCCCCUUUUAU
RNAcentral lists this long non-coding RNA (373 nucleotides) under Monodelphis domestica (gray short-tailed opossum). RNAcentral's name for it is "lncRNA (ENSMODG00000043221.1)". The record is from RNAcentral. Lineage: Eukaryota; Metazoa; Chordata; Mammalia; Didelphimorphia; Didelphidae.